This 253-nucleotide ribosomal RNA is filed under the name uncultured bacterium. RNAcentral's name for it is "partial 16S ribosomal RNA". It matches the Rfam family "Bacterial small subunit ribosomal RNA", at positions 524 to 776 of the family's 1533-position model. The record is from RNAcentral.
GACGUAGGGCGCAAGCGUUGUCCGGAUUUAUUGGGCGUAAAGAGCUCGUAGGCGGUCUGUUGCGUCGGCUGUGAAAACCCGGGGCUCAACUCCGGGCCUGCAGCCGAUACGGGCAGACUAGAGUUCGGCAGGGGAGACUGGAAUUCCUGGUGUAGCGGUGAAAUGCGCAGAUAUCAGGAGGAACACCGGUGGCGAAGGCGGGUCUCUGGGCCGAUACUGACGCUGAGGAGCGAAAGCGUGGGGAGCGAACAGG